This 253-nucleotide ribosomal RNA is filed under the name uncultured bacterium. Its description in RNAcentral is "partial 16S ribosomal RNA". It matches the Rfam family "Bacterial small subunit ribosomal RNA", at positions 524 to 776 of the family's 1533-position model. The record is from RNAcentral.
GACAGAGGGGGCAAGCGUUGCUCGGAAUUACUGGGCGUAAAGGGCGCGUAGGCGGCUCGGCACGUCCGUUGUGAAAUCGCCCGGCUCAACUGGGCGGGGUCAGCGGAUACGGCCGAGCUGGAGCAAGCUAGGGGGUAAUGGAAUUCCCGGUGUAGUGGUGGAAUGCGUAGAUAUCGGGAGGAACACCAGUGGCGAAGGCGGUUACCUGGAGCUUUGCUGACGCUGAUGCGCGAAAGCGUGGGGAGCGAUCCGG